AAAGUUUAUCCUCAUUGGUUAGUUACGAUAAGAUACAUUAUUGUCAAUUUUUGUGGAAACUACUUUUAUAAGUUAGUUGUGGAAAAAUGUAUAUUUGUCUGUCUCCCCUACGUUAGCUUCUCCAGAACCUUCCAGCAAGUGGAGGGAAGGAGGGAGUAUGAGACCCCAGCUCCUCGCAGGUUCAACCCAAAGCCCACACUCUGGAACACCACUAAACUCCGGAACACCCAGAACACUACACAGCUGCACAGCUCCAGGACACAGAAUACACCUCACACAGUGCAAGGAAACUUCUGGAGGCCAUCCCUAACAACAGCAGCAGCUUGGCAGCCAGAGGUGUGCAGCAGCAGUUUUCGUAGGGUUGCCAUAGCAGCACCACCGAUGGCAACCUGCAAACAGUGCAAUCCAGCCUCACGCUGCCUUUCCUGCUGCAGAGAGCACAGAGACAGUCAAAGAGACGGCUUCCGCCAAGACCAGCAAAACCACAAGCAGCAGCAGAAAGCACCCCCCUCCUCUUCCUCCCUGCGUCUCCAUGGUA
Salmo trutta (river trout) is the source of this 538-nucleotide long non-coding RNA. NCBI's taxonomy places the organism in Eukaryota, Metazoa, Chordata, Actinopteri, Salmoniformes, Salmonidae. The record is from Ensembl.